GACGAACGCUGGCGGCGUGCUUAACACAUGCAAGUCGAACGGAAAGGCUCCAGCUUGCUGGAGUACUCGAGUGGCGAACGGGUGAGUAACACGUGGGUAAUCUGCCCUGCACUCUGGGAUAAGCCUGGGAAACUGGGUCUAAUACUGGAUAUGACCUUUCUCCUGAUGGGGUUUGGUGGAAAGUUUUUCGGUGUAGGAUGAGCCCGCGGCCUAUCAGCUUGUUGGUGGGGUGAUGGCCUACCAAGGCGACGACGGGUAGCCGGCCUGAGAGGGUGAUCGGCCACAUUGGGACUGAGAGACGGCGCAGACUCCUACGGGAGGCAGCAGUGGGGAAUAUGGCACAAUGGGCGGAAGCCUGAGGCAGCGACGCCGCGUGAGGGAUGACGGCCUUCGGGUUGUAAACCGCUUUCAGCAGGGACGAAGCGUAAGUGACGGUACCUGCAGAAGAAGCACCGGCUAACUACGUG
RNAcentral lists this ribosomal RNA (467 nucleotides) under uncultured bacterium. RNAcentral describes it as "partial 16S ribosomal RNA". It matches the Rfam family "Bacterial small subunit ribosomal RNA", at positions 28 to 507 of the family's 1533-position model. The record is from RNAcentral.